AUUGAACGCUGGCGGCAGGCCUAACACAUGCAAGUCGAACGGUAACAUUUCUAGCUUGCUAGAAGAUGACGAAUGGCGGACGGGUGAGUAAUACUUAGGAAUAUGCCUUUGUGGUGGGGGAUAACUAUUGGAAACGAUAGCUAAUACCGCAUAACGUCUUCGGACCAAAGGGGGCUUCGGCUCCCGCGCAAAGAGUAGCCUAAGCGAGAUUAGCUUGUUGGUGAGGUAAAGGCUCACCAAGGCGACGAUCUCUAGCUGUUCUGAGAGGAAGAUCAGCCACACUGGAACUGAGACACGGUCCAG
RNAcentral lists this ribosomal RNA (303 nucleotides) under uncultured Glaciecola sp. RNAcentral describes it as "bacterial SSU rRNA". It matches the Rfam family "Bacterial small subunit ribosomal RNA", at positions 30 to 334 of the family's 1533-position model. Lineage: Bacteria; Pseudomonadati; Pseudomonadota; Gammaproteobacteria; Alteromonadales; Alteromonadaceae. The record is from RNAcentral.